This 924-nucleotide ribosomal RNA is filed under the name uncultured bacterium. Its description in RNAcentral is "bacterial SSU rRNA". It matches the Rfam family "Bacterial small subunit ribosomal RNA", at positions 33 to 941 of the family's 1533-position model. The record is from RNAcentral.
ACGCUGGCGGCGUGCCUAAUACAUGCAAGUAGAACGCUGAAGGAGGAGCUUACUUUUCUGGAUGAGUUGCGAACGGGUGAGUAACGCGUAGGUAACCUGCCUGGUAGCGGGGGAUAACUAUUGGAAACGAUAGCUAAUACCGCAUAACAGUAGAUGUUGCAUGACAUUUGCUUAAAAGGUGCAAUUGCAUCACUACCAGAUGGACCUGCGUUGUAUUAGCUAGUUGGUGGGGUAACGGCUCACCAAGGCGACGAUACAUAGCCGACCUGAGAGGGUGAUCGGCCACACUGGGACUGAGACACGGCCCAGACUCCUACUGGAGGCAGCAGUAGGGAAUCUUCGGCAAUGGACGGAAGUCUGACCGAGCAACGCCGCGUGAGUGAAGAAGGUUUUCGGAUCGUAAAGCUCUGUUGUAAGAGAAGAACGAGUGUGAGAGUGGAAAGUUCACGCUGUGACGGUAUCUUACCAGAAAGGGACGGCUAACUACGUGCCAGCAGCCGCGGUAAUACGUAGGUCCCGAGCGUUGUCCGGAUUUAUUGGGCGUAAAGCGAGCGCAGGCGGUUAGAUAAGUCUGAAGUUAAAGGCUGUGGCUUAACCAUAGUACGCUUUGGAAACUGUUUAACUUGAGUGCAAGAGGGGAGAGUGGAAUUCCAUGUGUAGCGGUGAAAUGCGUAGAUAUAUGGAGGAACACCGGUGGCGAAAGCGGCUCUCUGGCUUGUAACUGACGCUGAGGCUCGAAAGCGUGGGGAGCAAACAGGAUUAGAUACCCUGGUAGUCCACGCCGUAAACGAUGAGUGCUAGGUGUUAGACCCUUUCCGGGGUUUAGUGCCGCAGCUAACGCAUUAAGCACUCCGCCUGGGGAGUACGACCGCAAGGUUGAAACUCAAAGGAAUUGACGGGGGCCCGCACAAGCGGUGGAGCAUG